UGGGGAAUAUUGCACAAUGGGGAAAGCCCUGAUGCAACGACGCCGCGUGAGCGAAGAAGUAUUUCGGUAUGUAAAGCUCUAUCAGCAGGGAAGAAAAUGACGGUACCUGACUAAGAAGCCCCGGCUAACUACGUGCCAGCAGCCGCGGUAAUACGUAGGGGGCAAGCGUUAUCCGGAUUUACUGGGUGUAAAGGGAGCGUAGACGGAGCAGCAAGUCUGAUGUGAAAGGCAGGGGCUCAACCCCUGACUGCAUUGGAAACUGUUGAUCUUGAGUACCGGAGGGGUAAGCGGAAUUCCUAGUGUAGCGGUGAAAUGCGUAGAUAUUAGGAGGAACACCAGUGGCGAAGGCGGCUUACUGGACGGUAACUGACGUUGAGGCUCGAAAGCGUGGGGAGCAAACAGGAUUAGAUACCC
Molecule: ribosomal RNA, 414 nt
Filed under: uncultured bacterium
Lineage: Bacteria
Description: bacterial SSU rRNA
Rfam family: Bacterial small subunit ribosomal RNA
Source: RNAcentral